UUAGUCCCAAGGAGCUCUGGAGAUACUGGU
RNAcentral lists this non-coding RNA (30 nucleotides) under Mus musculus (house mouse). Lineage: Eukaryota; Metazoa; Chordata; Mammalia; Rodentia; Muridae. The record is from RNAcentral.